This is a long non-coding RNA of Cotesia glomerata, 296 nucleotides long. RefSeq lists it as uncharacterized. NCBI's taxonomy places the organism in Eukaryota, Metazoa, Arthropoda, Insecta, Hymenoptera, Braconidae. The transcript is spliced from 3 exons. The record is from RefSeq and is a predicted model, not a curated record.
UUCGGAGGAUUCAGAGGAAAAAUGCCCAAGUUUGAUGGAUUACUCUUGGAAAAUAAAGAUGGCAAUGACUGUUGUACUUGGUGGUGUGUGUGUACCUUUAUCUUUAUUAUUUAGGAUAGUUUUCGAUUGUAAUAAACCCGUGCGCGCUUUUGCUGAUCGGAAAAUGCCGGAUUUGCUGACACGUGGCGCCAUCCUAUACGCAUUCACUGUUAUAUGUAGUUCGAGUCGCUGCUCCUAUUAAACGAUUAAGCGAUAAUGGGCAACUGUGCUAUUACAAUUUGUUUGAAUUAACUGGA